GGGAUGGAGAAACCCCAGAAUACCGAGGAGCAAGUGCUGGUGCAGGAACUGGAGCUACAUGAGACUGCUUUCCACUCCCUGAAGGCUUUCCUUUAUAGCCAAAUCUACAGCCAGGAGGCCUUGCCUCAUAACUUGGUUGAGGUGCAGGUGAUGGUGAGCUUUUGCCGUGGACAGGUGAGAUUUUUCUAUGGGCAGGUGAAACGGCUCGAGGUGAAUGCGCACUAUCAUGAGUUGCAGGUGCAGGUGAAAUAGUAGGGGGCUGAUGGAAGUGAUGGUGGUGAGAGUGGUGGUGAUGGUGAUGGUGGUGUGCAUGGUGGGGCCCAGGAAGAGGAGCUGGAGAAGGUGGUAAUGACGGUCCAGCUCCGUCGCCACCAUUGAGAGAGUGCUGCAAU
RNAcentral lists this long non-coding RNA (392 nucleotides) under Eucalyptus grandis. RNAcentral describes it as "long non-coding RNA (EGRA_LNC006421)". Lineage: Eukaryota; Viridiplantae; Streptophyta; Magnoliopsida; Myrtales; Myrtaceae. The record is from RNAcentral.